GACAAAGCGCUGCUCGCCAUCAUCCGAAUCCCAGUGCGACCCCUGCCCAGAUGGAUACUAUAACUCAAAGCAUAACUACUAUCGAUGCAAAAGCUGCACCAUCUGUUACCCAGAUAGGGGAAGCAUGGAGGUGAAGAAGUGUGAUAAGAUCUCAGAUACAGUUUGCAUGUGCAUGAAGGGUUACACCCCAUACGACAGCAGAUCGUCAGAGGAAUAUCCAUCAGGAACAGAAUGCUUCCCUUGUCCUGAUGGGCAUUUUUCCGAUGGAAACAACGACAGAUGUCGGCCCUGGAUCAAGUAUGUAUCCUUCACCCAAACA
Molecule: long non-coding RNA, 319 nt
Filed under: Chelonoidis abingdonii (Abingdon island giant tortoise)
Lineage: Eukaryota; Metazoa; Chordata; Testudines; Testudinidae
Description: lncRNA (ENSCABG00000022065.1)
Source: RNAcentral